UUCUGAAAAACACUGUUCUGAGG
RNAcentral lists this non-coding RNA (23 nucleotides) under Cricetulus griseus (Chinese hamster). Lineage: Eukaryota; Metazoa; Chordata; Mammalia; Rodentia; Cricetidae. The record is from RNAcentral.